Molecule: small RNA, 1684 nt
Filed under: Rattus norvegicus (Norway rat)
Lineage: Eukaryota; Metazoa; Chordata; Mammalia; Rodentia; Muridae
Description: uncharacterized LOC102547357
Source: RNAcentral
AGAAGAGUCUGAGUUAUGAAACUCUGCCCAAAAGCAUUGAUGAAGAUUAUGCACGCCCCCGCCACGCCCCGCCACGCCCCCAAAAAGUUUGUUGGACUAGGCCCUCACCCUGUAGCCCCUCUGUGGCCUGAAACUACUCAUGUAGCCCAGGCUGGCCUAAAAAUCUCCGUGAACGUCCCACCUUAGUCUUCUUAGAGUUAGGAUUACAGAUACGAGCUAUGGCUUCCAAGAUUUCUUCUGGACACCAGCCCAACCGUUCAAAAGACCCCUAAGGACCUCCAGCCCAUUUUCCGUCUCCCUCCAGUAGAAAUGUCUACCCACUAGGCCUCCCCCAGACCCGUUCUCUGCCCUUGUCUCUCUGUUCCUCUCCAUCCUUCAUCCCAUUGAACUUAAAUGUUCCUUUUCACCCAUGCCGUGGUUGGGCAGAUGGCUUUGGUGAUGUCUCCUUUUCUGAAUGGCUCUGCAGUAUGGACCCGGCCAGCAGUUGCCUGCGGGGACGAAUGAAUGCACGAAGUGACUGGAUCUCUCUGUGCUCCAAAUACUGGCUUCGGACCGUCUGAGCAAACACCUGGCCUACUGCUUCAACCAUGCUGAAGCCCUGGGUUUUUCUCACUAGAAUGUUCCCUGCAGACCGAAUCCUAAAAUAAGGGCUUUCGUUUGCAAGACAACGCCAAUCUCCAAGGAGAGAAAAAGGAGUCCUAGGCGCAGGUUGGAAGCCACCGUCAGGGGCUGUCAAGACUGUGUGUCAUUUCCCUUUGGCCCAGGGCUGUCAUGGGACCUGGAGUCAAGUUGCAACUCUUCCCCAGCAGCCAGCUGAUCUUGGGGGCAGCCCCUUGUGACUUGCAGCCUGCAGUUUCCUCAUCCCGGACCUGAGGAUCAUGAAUGCUCCUUGGCAGGGUUGUGGAAAAGAUUUGGCAGGGAGUAUCGUCUGAACACGGCCGUGCAACCUGCAGCUGGAUCCGGUUAAUAGAAGAAAUUGCUUAGUCGAUGAGAGCUAACACGCCAACCCUAAACCAGCCAGCUUGACCCAGACGCACGGCUCAGACCUUGGUACCAACCCUGUCUCUUGUCACUUGCCAGCUCAACAAUGUGACCUUGAGUUAGCGUGCAUAGGCGGUUCUCCCCUGCGUGAGUGUUUAUAUGCACCACGUGUGUGCAGUGACGUCAGAGACCAGAAGAGGGCGUCAGAUCCCGCGGGACUGGAAUGACAGUUGUGCGUCACCUGUAGGUGGAGGAGAUUGAACUGGUCCUCUGUGUAAGCAAUAUCAAAUAUGAAUUUUUUUCUAUCAAAUACUAUAAAACCUGUUUGGGAUAUGGAAUUAAAAUUAUUAAUCUUGCCCACAUCCUAAAACUUAUAUGCAAAUGUUUAAAUCCCCUCAUCCAAUAAAGCCUUUCAAAGGCCCAUGCUGUAUUCUAGGAGUUUGAUAUCCUGGCGAGGUUACUCCUGUCGGUACCUCUAUGUUUUCCCGUGCACCAAUUUUUUUCUCAGACUAGCCAAUCAGAUAAAACUAUGAAGUCGGGCUGUAACCAAUGGGGGAACGAUGACGUCACCACCCGAGAUACACCAAACACCAAAUGCACUUCCUGUAUCUGUGUUCCAGCUUCAGCGUGCACCCUCUUGAUCAAGAGAAAAGCUUUAAACCGGGUAUUCUGGUGCGCGCGACUUUAGUCCCAGCAUUCGGAG